RNAcentral lists this long non-coding RNA (214 nucleotides) under Nicotiana benthamiana. RNAcentral's name for it is "long non-coding RNA (NBEN_LNC002752)". Lineage: Eukaryota; Viridiplantae; Streptophyta; Magnoliopsida; Solanales; Solanaceae. The record is from RNAcentral.
AUCGAAAAAUUCAUUGAGCACCGAUAAAUAAUAACUUUAAAUUAGAAUGUUGGGCCCAUACACGGCUUUUCUUCAUCUAGUAUUAUAUAAAUGCCAAAAGCGACUUAUAGUUUAAAUAUAUGAGUUUUAUACGAAGUGCUUUUUAUACGUGUCACUACUACAGAGAGUUUUGUAAAGUAAAUUCUGGGCAUUUGAAUCUUUUUGUUAUGAAAUA